This 665-nucleotide ribosomal RNA is filed under the name uncultured bacterium. RNAcentral's name for it is "bacterial SSU rRNA". The stretch from base 1 to 544 matches the Rfam family "Bacterial small subunit ribosomal RNA", at positions 338 to 873 of the family's 1533-position model. The record is from RNAcentral.
CCUACGGGAGGCAGCAGUAAGGAAUAUUGGUCAAUGGAGGCAACUCUGAACCAGCCAUGCCGCGUGCAGGAUGAAGGCCCUAUGGAUCGUAAACUGCUUUUACACAAGAGAAAACCCCGGUACGUGUACCGGGUUGAUAGUAUUGUGAGAAUAAGCAUCGGCUAACUUCGUGCCAGCAGCCGCGGUAAGACGAAGGAUGCAAGCGUUAUCCGGAUUCAUUGGGUUUAAAGGGUGCGUAGGCGGACUUGUAAGUCAGUGGUGAAAUCUCUUUGCUUAACAAAGAAACUGCCAUUGAUACUGCAGGUCUAGAGUAUAGAUGACGUUGGCGGAAUAUGACAUGUAGUGGUGAAAUACUUAGAUAUGUCAUAGAACACCGAUUGCGAAGGCAGCUAACGAAACUAUAACUGACGCUGGGGCACGAAAGUGGNGGGAGUACAACAGAGUAGUAUACCUACGUAGUCGCGACCGUAACCGAACUAGAUACUCGUUGUUGGUCGUAUAUGUACGUCGAGCGACCGACGACGAAGACGAGUAAGUAAGUACCGUAACCGUCGGGGUAGGGUUACGGCCGGGUCCGACCGGGUUACGGUAACGUUACGAAGAGUAGUUAGGUUACGGCGAGGAGACGACGACCGGACGGACGACCGACGGACGGGAGGGAGGAG